GCCUGGCUCAGUGGAAGAGCAUCUGCUUUGCAUGCAGAAGGUCCCAGGUUCGAGUCCGGGCACCUCCA
Podarcis lilfordi (Lilford's wall lizard) is the source of this 68-nucleotide non-coding RNA. The record is from the annotation of a GenBank genome assembly. Lineage: Eukaryota; Metazoa; Chordata; Lepidosauria; Squamata; Lacertidae.